Long non-coding RNA from Felis catus (domestic cat), 1187 nucleotides. RefSeq lists it as uncharacterized. The transcript has 2 exons. The record is from RefSeq and is a predicted model, not a curated record. Lineage: Eukaryota; Metazoa; Chordata; Mammalia; Carnivora; Felidae.
UGCCUGGGCCCACAGAGAGCGGCUGCCGAUCGGGGACAAGCUUUGCAAAGGACCAGGUCGAGCCUCGCUGAUGGGUCCCUCGGACCCUCCCACUCACACGGCGGCACCCUCUGCCGGGCUCUCUGACCGCCACUGACCACCAACAGGCAAGAGGCUGGGCGGCCGCGGCCCCGAGCCGGGCCCGACUCCGUGAGGCUGUGCACGGGCACCAUGGACACAAAGCUGGGAGCCAGGUCACCCUUGUGGAGCGAGGGUGGCCGGGGGGCUCCUCUGCCCCUUUCUCCGUCCCCCUGCAUGGCAGACAUCACAGAUCGAUUCCUGGGCUCCUUCCGGCUGAGCCGCGGGCCCCUGCUCUCCCAACAACCCUUCCGAUCAAUCCGGCUGCCGCUGGCAUGCCUCUGAGAGCCGAUUUUCCACGAGUGCCAACGACUGACUAACCCACAAGAGAAUGUGAACGCACAGCUUUCGGCCAACGGGCAUUCUGCAGUCGGGCAGACGCUCAGCCUUCUCUCCGUCCUCAUCAAGAGGAAACCGAGCCACCCUGGAAGCACCCGGUGGGGCUUUACUCUCAUGGGGCGGAAGGACGGCCCCCCCACCCCCCACCCCAGGCCUCUCCCCUUCCUGGCAUCGCACAGCACACCAGGCCGGCCACACACCUGGCCUCAGCACCACACGCCAAUGCCCCUAGGAGCUCUGGCCGGGGCACCCCCGCCCGAAGCCGCUGCACGCCGGACCCCACGCCCACGCAGCUCCCUCCACAGACCUUCCGCAGCACCGGAGACGGAAGAAGAAUCCAGUCCCAGCCACCUACCUGAAGGAGCCAGUAGCACCUCCGGUGGAAGAUGAGAGGCAUCAUCGAUGAAGGCUGGAGAGAGGGACAGCGGACCCCUGACGAGAGCGAACCAUGUCAAGUAGCAUCGAGGGAGGAAGGGAAGCCCCCUCUAGAACCCCAAGGACUCAAGGACCCCAAGGGCAUGCCCCCCUCCCCGUGUUGCCUUGCCCAGCACGCUGGGUCCCUCCCAUGGCUCACUGCCCAUCUGUACUCCCGGGACUGGAAGCUCCAGGGUGAGGCAGGGAGCCUCAGACCCUCUGAAUGACGGUGGCCAACAAGUGUCCCACCGGUCUCCACAGCCCAGUACAGGGUACAGGACCUGAAGGCAAUAAAUGGUUCAUUUUUGCUUGUGGUA